RNAcentral lists this unclassified non-coding RNA (89 nucleotides) under Pseudomonas azotoformans. The record is from RNAcentral. Lineage: Bacteria; Pseudomonadati; Pseudomonadota; Gammaproteobacteria; Pseudomonadales; Pseudomonadaceae.
UGUGGGAGCGGGCUUGCUCGCGAAUACGUCGUGUCAGGCGACUCAUCCAUGGCUGAUACAGCGCAUUCGCGAGCAAGCCCGCUCCCACA